This 482-nucleotide ribosomal RNA is filed under the name uncultured bacterium. RNAcentral's name for it is "partial 16S ribosomal RNA". It matches the Rfam family "Bacterial small subunit ribosomal RNA", at positions 28 to 523 of the family's 1533-position model. The record is from RNAcentral.
GACGAACGCUGGAGGCGUGCUUAACACAUGCAAGUCGAACGAUGAAAUGGAGCUUGCUCCAUGGAUUAGUGGCAAACGGGUGAGUAACACGUGAAUAACCUGCCCUUAAUUUUGGAAUAACCCAGGGAAACCUGGGCUAAUACCGGAUAAGUAAACCUGUGGCAUCACAUGGUUUUGGAAAGUUUUUCGAUUAAGGAUGGAUUCGCGGCCUAUCAGCUUGUUGGUGAGGUAAUGGCUCACCAAGGCGACGACGGGUAGCCGGCCUGAGAGGGGGAACGGCCAAACUGGGACUGAGACACGGCCCAGACUCCUACGGGAGGCAGCAGUGGGGAAGAUUGCACAAUGGGCGCAAGCCUGAUGCAGCAACGCCGCGUGAGGGAUGACGGCCUUCGGGUUGUAAACCUCUUUUAGUAGGGAAGAAGCGAAAGUGACGGUACCUGCAGAAAAAGCACCGGCUAACUACGUGCCAGCCGCCGCCGUAA